RNAcentral lists this ribosomal RNA (279 nucleotides) under uncultured bacterium. Its description in RNAcentral is "partial 16S ribosomal RNA". It matches the Rfam family "Bacterial small subunit ribosomal RNA", at positions 506 to 784 of the family's 1533-position model. The record is from RNAcentral.
UGCCAGCAGCCGCGGUAAUACGAAGGUGGCGAGCGUUGUUCGGAAUCACUGGGCUUAUAGCGCAUGUAGGCGGCUAUGAAAGCGUCGGGUGAAAUCCCUCGGCUCAACCGAGGAACGGCUUGGCGAACUUCAUAGCUUGAGGCAGGUAGGGGUGUGUGGAACUCUUGGUGGAGCGGUGGAAUGCGUAGAUAUCAAGAGGAACGCCGGAGGCGAAAGCGACACACUGGGCCUGUCCUGACGCUGAGAUGCGAAGGCUAGGGUAGCGAACGGGAUUAGAUA